CUAUUACAUGGUCUAAAAAAUCAUAAUUUUAACGUGAAUUGUUUAUAUAUGCAGUGAGUAAAACAAAUAAAUUUUCAGAAUGCAUUCCUCAUUUAUGAGAGAAGGAGUGUAAUUUCUUCGCUUACUUUUUGAAUGGAAGAAAUCGUGUAAUUUCUUAAAGUUGAAUGAUACUGCAAUAAUUAUACAAAAUGUUACUAAUUAAGUAAAAAAAAAAAAGAAGAACAAUACAAGGAACUAACAAACACAAUUUUUU
This 253-nucleotide small RNA is filed under the name Arabidopsis thaliana (thale cress). RNAcentral describes it as "ATSL111850". Lineage: Eukaryota; Viridiplantae; Streptophyta; Magnoliopsida; Brassicales; Brassicaceae. The record is from RNAcentral.